GAGCCCGUAGCUCAAUAGUUAGAGCGUUUGACUUCUGAUCAAAGGAUCACAGGUUCG
Molecule: transfer RNA, 57 nt
Filed under: Schistocephalus solidus
Lineage: Eukaryota; Metazoa; Platyhelminthes; Cestoda; Diphyllobothriidea; Diphyllobothriidae
Rfam family: tRNA
About the family: Transfer RNA (tRNA) molecules are approximately 80 nucleotides in length. Their secondary structure includes four short double-helical elements and three loops (D, anti-codon, and T loops).
Source: Rfam by way of RNAcentral